GACGAACGCUGGCGGCGUGCUUAACACAUGCAAGUCGAACGGAAAGGCCCUGCUUGCAGGGUACUCUAGUGGCGAACGGGGGAGUAACACGUGGGUGUUCUGCGCUGCACUCCGGGAUAAGCCUGCGAAGCUGGGUCUAAUAUCGCGUAGGGGCGAUCCUGCGUGUGGGGGUUGGAAAGUUUUUUCGGGGUAGGAGGAGGUCGCGGCCUACUAGCUUGUUGGUGGGGGGAUGGGCUACCAAGGCGGCGUGGGGGGGGCGGCCUGCGAGGGUGUACGGCCACAUAUGGGCAGAGAGACGGGCCAGACUCCUAUAGGGGGCAGCGGAGGGGAAUAUUGUGCAAUGGGCGCGAGCGUGAGGCAGAGACGCGGCGUGGGGGAGGAAGGCCCUCGGGGUGUGAACUCCUCUCGCGAGGGAGGAAGCUUUGUUGUGACGGUACCUAGAAAAGAAGCACCGGCUAACUACGUG
This 466-nucleotide ribosomal RNA is filed under the name uncultured bacterium. Its description in RNAcentral is "partial 16S ribosomal RNA". It matches the Rfam family "Bacterial small subunit ribosomal RNA", at positions 28 to 507 of the family's 1533-position model. The record is from RNAcentral.